AUGGGCGUGCUUUCGCAGGCACAGUGGCUGCCGCUGGGCCCGAGAGAUGGGUGCUGUCCCGGGCGCCCGCCGCCCUGGCAGGGGCCGAGCACGCUGCAGCUUCACAAGAGCCUCGGCGACGGCUUUGGCUUCACCCUGCGGCAUUUCAUCGUGUACCCCCCAGAGUCGGCUGUGCACUGCAGCCUGAAGGUACGGGACGGAGGCUGGGGGGGGUCCCUCAGGGUGAAGCCCGCGGCCCCAGCAAAGGCUGCAGGGCUGGGACCACCGUGGACUGGUUCCUCCCAGGAGGCGGGAGUGGCUGGUUCAGGGCAGGGCACCUGGAGGUGGGAGGCCGGCGACCUCCUGGAAAGUGAGCAGCCUCCCUGUCCCCUGGUGGCUUCAGCUGGGUCUGCUGCCCCAAUCCGCAGCGGUCACACUCUCCUCCCAGUGUGCCCCGGGCCCCGGGUGGGGCAGAGGACCCCCAGUCCUGGGACCGGUCCCAAGGCACCUGGGCUUGGGGCCAUCCCCCCGCCUCUGGCACCAUUUCUGCUGUGCCCUGGGUGCCUUGAGAAAGCCCUUCUGGUGCUAGGAUAAACGCCAGGCUCUCCAGGCCGAUGAACCUGGCUCCUCACCCGGCCCACGCAGGCUGUGGGUUGGGGUCAGAGCCAAGGGGAGCACAGGGUGGGGGUCAGACAGAAGGGGCCAGACGGCGAUCGGAGCCCCCAUGAGGUCCCGUCCCGCUUUCUUCCUGCAAGGGAGGAGAUGGUAUGUUGGGGUCCGCAGGCCCUCUCUCCCCUUCCUCCAGCGCUAGAAUCAGCCUGCCACAGCUGUUGGGCUUCUCCCAGCGGUGCAGGGACCUCGGUCCCACCUGCCAGAGAAGCAAAGCACUGGGUCUCAUGGCCUUGUCUGUGUGCUUUGGAUGACAUGCCGGGCACAGGCGUGCACACGUGCGGCUCUGUAAACAAGCGUGUGUCACAGCGGCGGGUGCCACUGUCACUGGCUCCAGCUGUGCUUAAGAGUGGAAGUGGUGCGUGGCCCUGUCCCACCCUGUGCCCAAGGACACCAGCCCCUCGGACCCAGGACUCCCUUCCCCUCUUCCCUCCCGCCCUCCCUCC
RNAcentral lists this long non-coding RNA (1094 nucleotides) under Fukomys damarensis (Damara mole-rat). Its description in RNAcentral is "lncRNA (ENSFDAG00000032285.1)". Lineage: Eukaryota; Metazoa; Chordata; Mammalia; Rodentia; Bathyergidae. The record is from RNAcentral.